UAGGGAAUCUUCCACAAUGGGCGCAAGCCUGAUGGAACAACACCGCGUGAGUGAAGAAGGGUUUCGGCUCGUAAAGCUCUGUUGUUAAAGAAGAACACGUAUGAGAGUAACUGUUCAUACGUUGACGGUAUUUAACCAGAAAGUCACGGCUAACUACGUGCCAGCAGCCGCGGUAAUACGUAGGUGGCAAGCGUUAUCCGGAUUUAUUGGGCGUAAAGAGAGUGCAGGCGGUUUUCUAAGUCUGAUGUGAAAGCCUUCGGCUUAACCGGAGAAGUGCAUCGGAAACUGGAUAACUUGAGUGCAGAAGAGGGUAGUGGAACUCCAUGUGUAGCGGUGGAAUGCGUAGAUAUAUGGAAGAACACCAGUGGCGAAGGCGGCUACCUGGUCUGCAACUGACGCUGAGACUCGAAAGCAUGGGUAGCGAACAGGAUUAGAUACCCUGGUAGUCCAUGCCGUAAACGAUGAGUGCUAGGUGUUGGAGGGUUUCCGCCCUUCAGUGCCGGAGCUAACGCAUUAAGCACUCCGCCUGGGGAGUACGACCGCAAGGUUG
This 550-nucleotide ribosomal RNA is filed under the name uncultured bacterium. RNAcentral describes it as "bacterial SSU rRNA". It matches the Rfam family "Bacterial small subunit ribosomal RNA", at positions 355 to 896 of the family's 1533-position model. The record is from RNAcentral.